This 467-nucleotide ribosomal RNA is filed under the name uncultured bacterium. RNAcentral's name for it is "partial 16S ribosomal RNA". It matches the Rfam family "Bacterial small subunit ribosomal RNA", at positions 28 to 507 of the family's 1533-position model. The record is from RNAcentral.
GAUGAACGCUGGCGGCGUGCUUAACACAUGCAAGUCGAACGGAAAGGCCCAAGCUUGCUUGGGUACUCGAGUGGCGAACGGGUGAGUAACACGUGGGUGAUCUGCCCUGCACUUCGGGAUAAGCCUGGGAAACUGGGUCUAAUACCGGAUAGGACGAUGGUUUGGAUGCCAUUGUGGAAAGUUUUUUCGGUGUGGGAUGAGCUCGCGGCCUAUCAGCUUGUUGGUGGGGUAAUGGCCUACCAAGGCGUCGACGGGUAGCCGGCCUCAGAGGGUGUACGGCCACAUUGGGACUGAGAUACGGCCCAGACUCCUACGGGAGGCAGCAGUGGGGAAUAUUGCACAAUGGGCGCAAGCCUGAUGCAGCGACGCCGCGUGGGGGAUGACGGCCUUCGGGUUGGAAACUCCUUUCGCUAGGGACGAAGCGUUUUGUGACGGUACCUGGAGAAGAAGCACCGGCUAACUACGUG